AAAAAUAAUCAUAAUAUAUAAUAUUUAUGUUAUUAUUAUUUUUUAUUUAAUAAUACUAAUUAUUUUUAAGAAUAAAAUAAUAUAUUGUUAUAAAAUCUAAUCUAUUUUAAUAUUUAUACAUAUACAAUUUUAUUCUUGUUUCCUGCCAUACAUGAUGUUCCAAACCACAUAUACUCAACCGAUUUAAAGUAAACCUACUUAUGCCAAAUAAUGUUUUUUUAUAAUUUUUUUAAAUGACUAAAUAUAUAGAAUUGGGCUGACUAUACCUUUCUUCAUUAUUCAUCCUCUUUUAAAUGUUGAUCGAUCUAAAUAUUAGAAAAUAAUGAUUAUAUUAUAUUUAUUUAUUUCAAAUUUUCCUUAAAUCAUUUUUUUUUAAAUAUUAAACAUUGUAAAAAUAUAGGUCGAUCAACCACAAGUACUAAUUACGUUUCAGGCUCAAAGUAUUUUCGUUCCUUUCAAUCAUCUUGGUACAAUACCUAUCCUUGGUUGUGUGGGAGUAUACAUGCUCAAAAAUUAUAUUUUGUUGGCCAUGUGUUCUUCUUUCACAUGUAAAGUCUGUCUGGGUCAAACAAGGAUACUAUGACCUUAAAAAUUUGCAACGGUCAGCAAAAAAGCAUGCGGAAUCAGGCAAUCAUUUAACAUCAUUUAUGAAUUUAAAAAGACUAGAAAAAAACAUGUCAACAAUAAAAGAUUUACUACAGGAAAAUGUCUCACAUUGUAAAAUCAUAUACAAUGAGAAAGUUAGAAAAAACAGAAUGUUAUUUAGUAACUUAAUUGAUACCACUAUACUCCUAGCAAAACAAGAACUGUCAUUUCGUGGUCAUCGAGGAAGAGGUUCGAAAAAUAGGGGAAACUUUAUUGAUUUUUUUAAUCCCAAAAUAAAAUAUAAUGAAAAACUACGAAAUCAUAUUGAAAAGCUUGGAAAAUCAUUUUGUUCCAAAAACCAUUCAAAAUUAUUUAAUUUUUUGCAUAAGUGAAGUAAUUAAAGAAGAGAUUAAUCAGCAACUUAAAGACAAGGAUUUUUUUGCCGUAAUUGUAGAUGAUACCACCAACAUUACUGAAAAAUCUCAGUGUGCAGUGUCACUAAGAUAUGUCGAGAAAAAAAUCUCUGAAUAUUUAUGAACGAUUUUUGGGUUUUUACGAUGUGAGUGAUGACCGAACUUCAGAAGCCUUAUACACAUUAGUUGCCAGCGUUUUAUCUCCAUUUAAUUACAAAGAAAAGCUGGUGGCACAGAUGGGCAUCCAGAUCCAAGAUUGUUUUGCUACUAACAAAUGAAUACAUCAACGUUAUCUCCGUGUUUGAAAAUAUUAUGAAUGAUCGAUCUUCAGGUGCGGUCUCUAUUAAUAGUGCUAAAGGAUUUCUAAAAUCUUUUUUAGAAUUUGAAUUUCUAUUUCUUUUAAAUGUGUUUAGCGAAAUUUUCUUAAAAACAGAUUUUCAUUAUGACAAUUUAAAAAAAAAACAUUUGAUGUUGUCCUAUGCAAAAAAUAUGUUGAUACAUGUAUUGCGCAACUAGGCGAAUUAAGGACAGAUGAUAUUUUGUAUAAUUUAAAAACAAAAUCAGCUAAUUUAGUUAAUAAUGCCAAACAAACCAUCAGUUUUUCAUAUAAUCUUAAAGAUAAGUCUGACGAAAAUAUGAAAGGUCUUUAUUUUGAAAUUCUUGAUACAAUAGUUGUACAAUUAACAGAAAGAUUUAAGAACUUUACAGACAUACAAUUUUUAGCGCUAAUUGAAUGCAAUAACUUGCGUUAAAAACUGAACUGAAAAUAAUAUUUGGCGAUGAACAGUUUUCAGGCUGUAGUCCACAACAAAUAUUUAAUAUUUUCACAAACGACCUAAAAGAUGUUUUUCCGUAUACAACUAAACUUAUUAUGAUGUAUGUAUACAAUUAAACUUAAUAUCAUAUUAACUUUACCUAUUGCAAGUGCAAGUGUGGAAAGACAUUUUUCUUGCCUUAAGACUAUAAAUCAAGACCGGUUAUAUGACCUUGCACUCUUGCCAAUCGAAAAGUCGCUUAUUAAUGAUAUGACUAGUUCCAAAACAGACGAAGAGGACUUUUAUGAAAAAAUUAUAAAAACUUUUUUAGUAACUAAAAAUCGAGCCCUUGAUUAGUUCAUAAAGUUUAAUUUGUUAGCUUAUUUUUCUUUUAAAAUUUGUUAUUUAGGUCUGGUAUAGAGGUUAAUUUUUUGUUUGUUUUCGCAUGUAUUACAUACAUUACAAUAAGUAGUACAACUUUUUUUUUUCAAAAAAUUAACAAAUAAUGCAAGUUUUGUUGGAAAUAAAUUAUCUGAAAAAUCGCGGUUUCUUAUAGUCUUAUUCUGCAAAAACGAGUUAUAAAUAUUUAAAUAAUUUAAAUGUGGGUGUAAUAAAUUUUUGAUCGUCUUAUAAUACCUGUUACAGUCCAUUGUUUUUAAAUUAUAUAACUUGAAAAUAUAUUAUAAUUAAUUUUUGGUGUUCGCCUCACCUACCAAAACUUUCCAGAUCCGCCACUGUCAUGUACCAAUAAUAAAGCCAUCGCUACUCAUGGUGACGAAAAGAAAUUUUUACAUCCGUAGAUGCUCAAUGGCCUUGCUCGGUGCACGACAGUCGUAUUUUAAGAAGAUCAAAUAUUUUUGGUAUGAUGAGAAGACGUCAACAGAACUAUGGAAUUAUUUUAGGCGAUGAAGGGUACGGCAUAACACCAUGACUAUUAACACCGUAUAGAAACCCCACCACACCUCAAGUAAUAGCGUAUAAUAAUUUACAUAAAAGAGAGCGCGUUAUUAUAGAACGCUGUUUCGGACAACUAAAACGUCGAUUCCCUGUUUUGCAACAUCCGAUACGAUUGAACAUUGACAAAAUUUGGUCAGUAAUCGUCAGCGCUGUAGUUCUGCAUAAUGUUGCUAAGUAUUUAAAUGACCAAUUACCAAAUGACGAAGAAGAAGUAGUGGAAGAUAAUGAUGAGCUAAAUAACGACCGUCAGCGUGGUCAACAGAAACGAGAAGAAAUAAAAAAUAUAAUUUUUCAAUUGCAGUUGUAAAUAUACUACUAAAUAUGAUACCAUACAGUGCGUUUUUUUUAAUGCAGUACAUAGGAUUUUACUUGGUAAAAUUUCAAGUGCGUGUUAAGUUUAUUUUUACUAAGCCUAUGCAGACCAAAAUUCACAUAGGCAAAGUUUAGGUCUCUGGAAACAUAACAAGCUUUAGUUUCUUCUUAAAAACUUGCUAGAUUUUCAGAAAAAUCAAAUUUAAUCUUAGAAAACAAACACUUUUUCAUAGCCUUGUAUAUUGAUUUAAUACCAUCUAUUUCAUCAUUACAUUGACAAUGUCAAAAAGGUGACUUAAAUGAUGUCAAAAACGAAAUUUAUUUAACAAAAUAAGCAUUUAAUUUUAGUAAAAAUGUUGAAGAAAUUAAAUUAAUAAUUUGUAUUUUAAUGCUUUUAAGCAGCUACUUCAGGAACAAAUUACAUCACAUUCUUUUAAGGACCGUAAAUUUGACGAAGGGUUUUUGUUUACUCUUAAAAGAAAUCUUUCUACUACAUACUUUCUAAUUGAUUUGCGUAGAACUGGGCGAUCUGGAUAUAAAAGCCAGUAAAUACAUUUGCCAUUUCCUGGUAUGAGACUGUUACAAUCUUUAAUCUUACUCCAAUCGUAUAAACAAGAGUCAUUUUCUAAUAAAUAAUUUAAAAAAAUUGAGCUUUUAUUUGUUGUUAUGUCAAAACAUUUGACAACUAAUGAAUGUCUGUAGCCGGUGGUCAUGUAUUGUACGGGGUAUUUCAAAAGAGUCGAUUUUUAAAUUAAUUUUUAGAAUAAAUUUAAGCAUUUUUAUUCUAACAAGACAUUUCACUUUCAGCAGAAAUGCCUUGUAUAUGAAUAUAUUUUUAUUUGAAAAGUAAUGGACAGAACAUACAGGAACUCACAAAACUUAAAAUUAUUUCUCUUAACAUGUAACAAAAGUAUGUACCUAGAAAAAUAUUAGCAUUUUUUAUAUAACUACAAAACAGAAACACACAAAACUAAAAACUAAAUUGUCUUCAAAAUUUAUUUUGAAAAAUUCUGUGAGGUAGUGUGGUAGAGAGCUACUGUGUCGAUGUUCGGUAAUCAUCAAUAUUUAACAAUUGAUUUUCAUUUGUAAUUUUGCCAGCAUAUUCGGAAGGUUCUGGAGGGGUAAAGAUGGCAUUAUUUGGAUGGUUGGGUAAAGAUGGUGGUGCGGGAUGUGUUAAUGUUGCUUCAGCGUCUGUUACAAGUUGAAAGACCUGUCGUUUAAUGUUUAGUUGUGUUGAUGCUGGAAACGUUUUUACUGUCGCCGCCAUUGAAGAAAAAAAUACAUCCAGGGGAUGUGCGUUUGUCUGCGACGAUACCUGCUGCUCACGCUUGAAUUUGCAUUGGAGAAUGCUGUACAUGUUGCCGUUUUCGUUUCGACCUGCUUAGAUGACACGUGGAGGUACUUGCAACGCUUUUUGCUGAAUCCGGGAUUGCGGGGGUUCGGAAAAACCUUCCGUCAAUUGCUGGCUAGAACCAUCAGCAUCAGAGUCGUCACCUGAACUAGGUACCAACAAAUUACUUGUUUGCAAUUCUUGUGGUUGUUGCGAAUGGGGGUUUAAAAAUGCCAAUUCUUUUUCGAAUUUUAUUGGUUUAAUCUUUUUUGCACUUUCACCACUUUUAGUUUUCCUCAACUGUUUCGCCUUCCUAUAAUUAUCCCGUAGUUUUCUCCAUGUUUCCUUACAGACGUCACCUAAAAGAAAAAAUGCUUUUAAUACAUUUUUUUUCAGGUUAUUAGCGACUGGCAAUUCUUUUAAAUCGAUGGCUUAUACGUUUCGCAUGGGAGAAAGCACUGUCCGAAAAAUUGUUUAUAAAACAUGUUAAGCUAUAUGGGAUCAAUUGCAGCCUAGAGAAAUGCCGCAAUUAUCAGAACAAAUGUGGAAGGAAACUGAAAAAAAAUGUUGGCAACGUUGGAAUUUUCCAAAUCUAAUUGGAGCGAUUGACGGAAAACACGUAGUCAUUCAAGCUCCACCGAAUACCGGUUCCCUAUACUUUUCCUACAAAAAAUAGUUUAGCGUUGUGCUGUUAGCUCUAGUAUCAGCUGACUACAAAUUUAUUGUUAUUGAUGUCGGCUCUUAUGGAAAAAAUUCAGAUGAUGGCACUCGGAAAGUUACUACGAAGCAACCAAUUACAAAUACCUCCCGAUAAAGCUCUACCAGAAACCAAUAUACUUUUGCCUCACGUAAUAGUAGGUGAUGAAGCAUUUCCUUUGUCAGUAAACCUUAUGAGACCAUACCCAGGACAUCAAACGGCCAAUAAUGAAGAAAAUCGGAUUUUUAACUAUAGACUUAGUAGAGCUCGUCAAGUAAGUGAAAAUGCAUUUGGAUUAUUAGUUAAAAAAUUUAGAAUAUAUGAGAGAACGAUAAGUAUGUCCCCAGAGCAUGUGAAUGUUGUUAUCAAAACAACGUGUAUACUUCAUAAUUAUUUAAGGGAAGACACUUGCUAUUGGAGUGAAGUGAAGAUGACCAAAAGAAAGAUUGUGUUGCAUGGGAAGUAUUUCGUCCUCUACCUGGUAUUGGGGGCAGUAAUGCCCAACAAGUUUUGCAAGUCAGAGAACAAUUCAAAAAUUAUUUCACUUCCCCAGAAGGCGCAGUCGAUUGGCAGUUACAAGAAGUACGACGUGGAAGACGCAAUAUUAUUUAAAAAUUGUCAUAGAAUAUCUUUUUUAUUCGCUUUCUUAACUAAAUAAAAUAAUUUUUAAUAUAAUGUUUCUCCAACUUUCUUUGCUAUUUCUCUCCAAAUUUCGUCCUUUCUGAGAUGGUUACUAUAAUACCUAUCACUUAAAUCGUAGAGUUCUUUAUAACUUUGAACAUGCACAAUUAAAUUUUCGCAAAAACUCAUUAUUAUUAUAGACAGUGCUAUACUCUAUUUCAGAAAUGUAUAGAGUAAUAAACUGGGAAAUUCCGUUCUGUUUGGUUAAAUUUCGUGGUCGUUCAUAGGCGUAGGUACUUUAUGGAUUAAAUACCUUUAUUUUGAAAGAGGUUAAAUACUAAUUUAAUACUUUUAAUCCUUUUGUAUAAUAUAUACCUCUUAACGCUUUGUAGCAUGCAAAAAUGAGGACAAGUAAUAUAUACAGAAUAUAAAUACUUUUAAAUAAUAUUUUAAAUGUUAGUAUUUACUGCUACGCUAUAGUGUAAUCACAAUAUUAUUAUAACAAUAUUUAAAAAAAUGGAGGUAUUCAGUCUAACGAAAAGAUGUUCUAAUAAUUCUCCACUAUCACUGAGUGAAAAAGUUAUUAUUUUAAGUGGAAUCUCCCAAGCAAAAGCCAGGACGACCAACAAAAGUCCUUGAUGAAAAUACUAAAUGUAUAAUUCAAAGAAAAGUUCACUCUUUUUUAUUUUAAAAAGAAAAAAAAUUUCACUCUUUUUAUCGAUUGGCAAAAGAUAUUGCGUUUGAAGCAAAUUUGAUAAAAAAAGAACUGCUGCCAUAGCAAACUUACACAAAACUCGUUUCAUGAAAUACGCCGUGGAAGAUAUAGUCGAAAAAUAUAAUAUAACUGUACUACGCUUACCCCCCAUAUCAUUGCGAACUAAAUCCUAUAGAACUGAUAUGGGCGCAGGUAAAAGGAUUUGUAGCAAGACAAAACACGUCUUUUAAAAUGAAAGACGUUAAGCUACUGUUUGAUCAAGCCAUUAUGGAAGCAACACCAGCGAAUUGGCGAAAAGCAGUCCAGCAUGUAAUUAAGAAAGAGGACAAAAUGUGGGAUCUUGACAACCUGAUCGAUCAGACAGUCGACCCUUUAAUUGAAUCGGUGAGUGGAAGAACGGUCCAAAUGACCAAAAUUGACACUUCGAAGUGAGAUAGCCAUCUUUAUUAAACGACCUCCUUCCAUCGAAUGAGCUCAAAAACGGUCCAAAAUUCAAUACCGUUACCUACAAUCAGCCCCCCGUCGAAACAGACUGAGCGGAAGAACGGUCCAUGUGAAGCACUGCGUCAGCGGUUUGUUGUUGUCGUAUUUAGAGAUUAUUAUUCAUUUGUUAUCGAACUGUUACCGCGUCUGAAAAACGAAGAAAAUAAUAUUUAACUUUUGGAAAUCAAAAUGGAAAGCGGUGAAAAUGAAAGUGAUAGAGGCGACGAGAGUAAUCAACCGCAAGGCAGAAAAAGAUCAAGGAAUGUAGAUAAAUGGAAGGCCACAAAAUAUAAACAUGCACGCCUGGCAGGUGAAUCUUACAUCAGUAGUACAUCGGGUAGCAUUAAAGAGGCUAAGAAACCUGGCCCACCUUGUGUGUACCAUAGUUUAUUAUUUUUUUCUUUAUUGCAUAAAAUACUUACUCGCUAUAGAACUCUAUUUAGAUGUCUCUCUCUAGACUUACCUAAAUGUACUUAACAUGUAUACGUUUCUUUUCAGAUCUAAGCUGAAGUGCACGGAGAAGUUUUCCGAAGAAUUUAAAAACGAUAUUAUUGCCAAGUUAUAUGCUGGUCAACCUAAGAAUGAGCAAGAUACAUUCCUAAUAGGUCUUAUAAAAGUAAAACCUUGCAAAAAGCAUAAACCCACCGAAGGUCAUCAACAACAGUAACAGUUUCUGACAUCAUUGGCGGUGCAUUUUCCUCCAGUUUUAAACUGGUUAGACCGAACGUAAGGCCAGAGCUUCCAAAUGACAAGGCCUAUUUCGAAGCAGUACCUAUUAAUGACAAAAAAAUCCAGGACUUAAAGAAAGUUCUACAAUACGUUAGUGGUGAAGAUUUAGCAUUCUAUUACCAUAUUAUUUCAUGGAAUGUUACUACUUCUGAAACUAUUAAAUAAAAGCUCACCUUUAUUGUA
RNAcentral lists this long non-coding RNA (7780 nucleotides) under Anthonomus grandis grandis. RNAcentral describes it as "uncharacterized LOC126742692". Lineage: Eukaryota; Metazoa; Arthropoda; Insecta; Coleoptera; Curculionidae. The record is from RNAcentral.